AUACCAGCACCCCGAGUGGUCGGGACGAUUAUUGGGCCUAAAGCAUCCGUAGCCGGUCCUACAAGUCUUCCGUUAAAUCCACCUGCUUAACAGAUGGGCUGCGGAAGAUACUAUAGGGCUAGGAGGCGGGAGAGGCAAGCGGUACUCAGUGGGUAGGGGUAAAAUCCUCUGAUCCAUUGAAGACCACCAGUGGCGAAGGCGGCUUGCCAGAACGCGCUCGACGGUGAGGGAUGAAAGCUGGGGGAGCAAACCGGAUUAGAUACCCGGGUAGUCCCAGCUGUAAACGAUGCAGACUCGGUGAUGGGUUGGCCUUGUGCCAACCCAGUGCCGCAGGGAAGCCGUUAAGUCUGCCGCCUGGGGAGUACGGUCGCAAGACUGAAACUCAAAUGAAUUGACGGGG
Molecule: ribosomal RNA, 400 nt
Filed under: uncultured bacterium
Lineage: Bacteria
Description: partial 16S ribosomal RNA
Rfam family: Archaeal small subunit ribosomal RNA
Source: RNAcentral